RNAcentral lists this ribosomal RNA (255 nucleotides) under uncultured bacterium. RNAcentral describes it as "partial 16S ribosomal RNA". It matches the Rfam family "Bacterial small subunit ribosomal RNA", at positions 524 to 776 of the family's 1533-position model. The record is from RNAcentral.
UACAGGGGGGUGCAAACGUUGCUCGGAAUCAUUGGGCGUAAAGCGCACGUAGGCGGUUCGUUAUGUCGGAUGUGAAAGCCCCUUGGCUUAACCGAGGAAGUGCAUCCGAAACUGGCGAGCUAGAGUACUAAAGAGGAUCGCGGAAUUCCCGGUGUAGAGGUGAAAUUCGUAGAUAUCGGGAGGAACACCGGUGGCGAAGGCGGCGAUCUGGGUAGAUACUGACGCUGAGGUGCGAAAGCGUGGGGAGCAAACAGG